Cyprinus carpio carpio is the source of this 1969-nucleotide long non-coding RNA. The record is from Ensembl. Lineage: Eukaryota; Metazoa; Chordata; Actinopteri; Cypriniformes; Cyprinidae.
GUCGCUUGCAUACACAUGCGCCCUUACGAUCUCGCUCUCUUUUCCUCUCUCUCCGCCGGCUGCAGUGCUUCUCUUCUCAUCCUUGCAGCCUGGCAGCUUCAUCCGUGUUCCUCCCUCCUAGAUGGAGAAACACGCACAGCCUUUCCAAUGGUCCCCCCACCCCUCUGCGUGCCUCCCUUAAAAAAACCCCCAGGCCCCUUAAACAGCUCCUUUUCCUACUUGUCUCGGUGCCUGAUCACCAUUCGCUCUCCUUUGCACUUCACUUACAUUCUUAUUUUUUCUCUUUUUUUUCCGUUAAAUAAUUUGCCAGCUCUAUCCCACAAAUUUUCACAUUCAUAAUGUGAAAGCAGUUCAGAGUGCAGAAUGAACAGUAGGAAAUGGGAUGGGUAGGAGGAAAAAACGCUAAGAGGAGAGAAGUGACUGGGAUAGCGGAGAGGAGGAAGGAUCCGGAGCAACGGGAGAAAGAGCCGAACGUGGGAUCAACGAAACCGCGGGAAAAGGAGGAGGAACGACCAGACUGAUCUCAGUUCUUAUUCAGCUGGAAGAAAUGCCAGUUACAUAAAGGGCACCAUUUACUGCCAUUAUACAGCUUGGAAGAGCCAGGACAAUUUUUAAUAUAACUCAGAUUGGAUUCGUUUGAAAGAGGAAUUUCAGAUACACCUAAGAUGCCCUGAGAGAAUGCUGUGGAAAUACAGUUUGGAAUCAUCAUUGUUACUCCUUCUUCAAGACCGGAAUGAUGGAAAGAAUUUCAGCAUGUACGACUAAAUAUCAUUUGGAACAUCAUGUGGGUCGCAACCUCAGAAGAUUUGGAGACGGCACUCGAUUUGAAGAUUUGGAGAAGAAACCGUCAUUGUGAGAGUGAUGCAUUUACUUUUUUUGUCAAAUGACAAAGGAAAGACGGAAGGUAAAGAAGUGUCGUCAUCCGAGAUUAGUAUGCGGCUACUUCUACUCCACGUUACCUGAAACGGCACCCCAGAUUUUCAGACAUCCGUGAUAUCAGCUUCAGACCACUUUGACGCAGCUGUCGGGGAUGGUACCCAUUGGCUGACUUUGUGCCCUGACCACUCGGAGCGACCAAUCCAAAGCCAGCCUAGGUUCACGACCCCUAUACAUUUCUCCCGAGGCUUUGAUGCGAAUCUGUUCCAUGAAACCAUUUUACGGGCUAGCCUGCCAUCUUGUGCUCAUUAUUGUCAAACAUUUUGGUGAUGGAUAUUGCCCCGGAGCGGCUCAUAUGAGACAUGGUGUUUUUAUUCUUUUUCUGCAGUGAAGAUAAUUAGAUUUUAUAGCGUGAGACAGCGUGAACUUUUAAGAGAAUGUAUAAGCGUUGUUUGUUUUUCAAUUAGAUACAGUUUGGUACUAUAUCUGUAAAAUAUGUAGGCAGUAUGAUUCAUUACAAGAUUCAUCAAGUAUAUCAUUAGUAUUAAAAUAUAUCAUAUGGAGCAUAUUUUUCUUAUGUGUCCAUUAUCCAAUGCAUUCAUUUACAAUUUUUGCAUAACCUGAAAUCACAAAAUCUGAUCUAAAACCUUAUACAGUGACCUGAAAAUCAAAGCAAACUCGUGGAUAAUCCUUGACCGUAUUAUAUAAUAUGCAUCACAUUUUCUCCCAACCAUAUGUUUAUGUCUUUUGUUCUACUCAGCGCCUCAAGCCAUGAAACCAAACCAUUAUGAUUAAGUUAUGUGCAACCCAGAGACUAUCUGGAUCUGAGUAGGCAAAGAGAGACUGUCCCACUCCUUUCUGCUGGUGCUUUGAGACAUCAGAUACAGAACAUCAACCUCCACCAUCUGGUAUGCACUAAGCAGUGGAUUCAUUAAACAGCUAUACCAGAAAACUGUUUCACAACAAUGCAAAAGAACUGAUGAGACUGAGCAUUGAAAUCAGCAAGUGGUCUCCUAAAUGGUCUCCUUCAGACAAACAAGGCGGGGUGCCAAAUAGCCUUUUUUAUUUAGAGCAUAUGUUCAUUUUGAAAGCC